RNAcentral lists this ribosomal RNA (404 nucleotides) under Psammodromus edwarsianus. Its description in RNAcentral is "partial 16S ribosomal RNA". It matches the Rfam family "Bacterial large subunit ribosomal RNA", at positions 1973 to 2575 of the family's 2925-position model. Lineage: Eukaryota; Metazoa; Chordata; Lepidosauria; Squamata; Lacertidae. The record is from RNAcentral.
CCCCUAAAUAGGGACUAGAAUGAACGGCUAAAUGAGGACUUCACUGUCUCCUGCCGCCAGUCAAUGAAACUGAUCUCCCAGUCCAAAAGCUGGGAUACUUACAUAAGACAAAAAGACCCUGUGGAGCUUUAAACCAAAAAUAAAAACAUAUUCACCUGGUUUUUAGUUGGGGCGACUUCGGAACAAAAAAAACUUCCGAAAUAAUGGAACUAAACCCAUAUAACUAAGGCCAACACGCCAAAUACAACCACAAAACUUGACCCAGUACAAGAUACUGACCAAUGAACCAAGUUACCCCAGGGAUAACAGCGCCAUCUUCUUUUAGAGUUCAUAUCGACAAGAAGGUUUACGACCUCGAUGUUGGAUCAGGACAUCCCAAUAGUGCAACCGCUAUUAAAGGUUCG